RNAcentral lists this ribosomal RNA (253 nucleotides) under uncultured bacterium. RNAcentral describes it as "partial 16S ribosomal RNA". It matches the Rfam family "Bacterial small subunit ribosomal RNA", at positions 524 to 776 of the family's 1533-position model. The record is from RNAcentral.
UACGGAGGAUCCAAGCGUUAUCCGGAUUUAUUGGGUUUAAAGGGUGCGUAGGCGGCUUGUUAAGUCAGGGGUGAAAGACGGUAGCUCAACUAUCGCAGUGCCUUUGAUACUGACGAGCUUGAAUGUACUUGAGGUAGGCGGAAUGUGACAAGUAGCGGUGAAAUGCAUAGAUAUGUCACAGAACACCAAUUGCGAAGGCAGCUUACUAAAGUAUGAUUGACGCUGAGGCACGAAAGCGUGGGGAUCAAACAGG